Molecule: transfer RNA, 119 nt
Filed under: Enterobacter sp.
Lineage: Bacteria; Pseudomonadati; Pseudomonadota; Gammaproteobacteria; Enterobacterales; Enterobacteriaceae
Description: tRNA-Leu
Rfam family: tRNA
About the family: Transfer RNA (tRNA) molecules are approximately 80 nucleotides in length. Their secondary structure includes four short double-helical elements and three loops (D, anti-codon, and T loops). Further hydrogen bonds mediate the characteristic L-shaped molecular structure. tRNAs have two regions of fundamental functional importance: the anti-codon, which is responsible for specific mRNA codon recognition, and the 3' end, to which the tRNAs corresponding amino acid is attached (by aminoacyl-tRNA synthetases). tRNAs cope with the degeneracy of the genetic code in two manners: having more than one tRNA (with a specific anti-codon) for a particular amino acid; and 'wobble' base-pairing, i.e. permitting non-standard base-pairing at the 3rd anti-codon position.
Source: RNAcentral
UGCGGGAGUGGCGAAAUUGGUAGACGCACCAGAUUUAGGUUCUGGCGCCGCAAGGUGUGCGAGUUCAAGUCUCUUUUUGAUACCGGCAUUCCCUGGUUCGAAUCCAGGUACCCCAGCCA